This 360-nucleotide ribosomal RNA is filed under the name uncultured bacterium. Its description in RNAcentral is "partial 16S ribosomal RNA". It matches the Rfam family "Bacterial small subunit ribosomal RNA", at positions 338 to 695 of the family's 1533-position model. The record is from RNAcentral.
CCUACGAGCGGCAGCAGUGAGGAAUAUUGGUCAAUGGACGAGAGUCUGAACCAGCCAAGUAGCGUGAAGGAUGACUGCCCAGUGGAUUGUAAACUUCUUUUAUCAAGGACUAAAAAGAGGCACGCGUCCCUUUUUGCGUGUACUUUAUGAAUAAGGAUCGGCUAACUCCGUGCCAGCAGCCGCGGUAAUACGGAGGAUCCUCGCGUUAUCCGGAUUUAUUGUGUUUAAAGGGAGCGUAGAUGGGUUGUUAAGUCCGUUGUGAAAGUUUGUGGCUCAACCCUAGAAUUGCAGUUGAUACUGGCAGUCUGGAGUAGAGGUGAGGUAGGCGGAAUGCGUGGUGUAGCGGUGAAAUGCUUAGAU